GAUGAAGAACGUAGUGAAAUGCGAUAAAUAAUGUGAAUUGCAGAAUUCAGUGAAUCAUUGAGUCUUUGAACGCACAUUGCGCCCCCUGGUAUUCCGGGGGGCAUGCCUGUCCGAGCGUCAUUGCUGCCCUCAAGCACGGCUUGUGUGUUGGGCCCCCGUCCCCCCCUCCCGGGGGACGGGCCCGAAAGGCAGCGGCGGCACCGCGUCCGGUCCUCGAGCGUAUGGGGCUUUGUCACCCGCUCUGUAGGCCCGGCCGGCGCCUGCCGACCACCAUCAAUCUUUUUUCAGGUUGACCUCGGAUCAGGUAGGGAUACCCGCUGAACUUAAGCAUAUCAAUAAGCGGAGGA
Molecule: unclassified non-coding RNA, 347 nt
Filed under: soil metagenome
Description: partial contains 5.8S ribosomal RNA, internal transcribed spacer 2, and large subunit ribosomal RNA
Rfam family: 5.8S ribosomal RNA (bases 1-120)
Source: RNAcentral